UACGUAGGGGGCGAGCGUUAACCGGAUUUACUGGGCGUAAAGGGGGCGUAGGCGGCCGUGAAAGUCCGGUGUGAAAACUCACGGCUCAACCGUGGGACUGCGCUGGAAACUACACGGCUUGAGGACGGUAGAGGGAGACGGAACUGCUGGUGUAGGGGUGAAAUCCGUAGAUAUCAGCAGGAACGCCGGUGGAGAAGUCGGUCUCCUGGGCCGUUCCUGACGCUGAGGCCCGAAAGCUAGGGGAGCAAACCGG
Molecule: ribosomal RNA, 253 nt
Filed under: uncultured microorganism
Description: partial 16S ribosomal RNA
Rfam family: Bacterial small subunit ribosomal RNA
Source: RNAcentral